RNAcentral lists this long non-coding RNA (5109 nucleotides) under Mus musculus (house mouse). RNAcentral describes it as "long non-coding RNA chr10:108366865-108371974". The record is from RNAcentral. Lineage: Eukaryota; Metazoa; Chordata; Mammalia; Rodentia; Muridae.
AAUAGCUGGGUUUCCUUUCGGUUUUACCAAAUUCCCUCUUGUUAUGAUAAUAUAAAUGUGGAGGGAUUUCUGAAAUUGUAGAGAAUUGUCUUAGUUAGGGUUUUACAGCUGCAAACAGACACCGUGACCAGGGCAACUCUUAUAAGGACAACAUUUAAUUGGGGCUGGCUUCAGAGGUUCAGAGGGUCAGUCCAUUAUCACCAAGAUGGGAACAUGGCAGUAUCCAGGCAGGCAUGGUGCAGGAGGAGCUGAGAGUUCUACAUUUUCAUCUGAAGGCCUCUAAGACUGACUUGCAGGCAGCUGGACGAGGGUCUUAAAGCCCAUUCCACAGUGACACGCCUACUCCAACAAGGCCACACCUCCUAAGAGUGCCACUCCUUGGGCCAAGCAUAUUCAAACCAUCACAAGAAUUUUAAGUUUAAAGUUGUCCAGUAUCCUUUGGUUUAUAAGAACACAAACCAUAAAAGUGUAAAGCAUAGAACGGAAAGACGGGCAUGUAUGUGCCUAAGCGUGUAAAGUGAAAGCUUUGGUUCCCCUGACCCUGGGCAUAGCAGUACCUCUUUGAGAUGCCCAAACAGCAAACCUAAUGUAUUGACCAUUUGCUUGCCUAAGGAUCUAAAGUCAUUUUAUAUACCUUACAGAUUUUAUACGGAGUCAUAAGGUUAGAAAUGUUGGAAAGAUGUAUUGGGAAUUUAACUAGAGUUUUUCACCUACUUUCCACUUUGAACUGUCUUGCCCGUGACUACAGUAACAAGUGAGGUACCUUAAAUUACCAGAGCUCAUAGACCUCAUUUUUCUGUUUACUCCUAUUAGGAAAAUGUUUGUGGCCAGCCUAUGUUGUCAGUAAAAUUCCAAAGGGGUCUACAUCCUUACGUCUUUUUCAAAGGUUUCUAGAGCUAGGGCUGGAAAGAUAGCUCGGCAGUCCAGAGGAGCACUGGCUGCUCUUUCAGAGGAGCUGGUGUUUGGUUUUCAGCACACACGUGGCUCACAACCGUCUGUUCUUCCAACUCCAAGGGAUCCAGUGUCCUCUUCUGCACCAAGCACACAUGGAGCGAACAGACAUACAUGCAGGUGAAACAUCCAUAGAUACAAGUUUUUAAAGUCUCAUAAAAAGUUUCUAGAAUGGCAUGGGAAGGGGUCAUCCACGUUGGUAGGACUUUGGGUCUGUCUGGCCAAGUUAAAGUCCACUGCCUCUGGACAUACAUGUACGGCUGCUGGCUGGGUGCACCCAGAUUGGUGUUCACUUACACUUUGUAAAUGUAGUUCCUGACAAAGCAAAAAUGCCUGAAAUCACAGGCUCAGGAGACUUUUUUCUAAUACAUAUUGAAAUAACAAAUUUGUUUGACUGUUACCUGAAGCUCUAUUGCAUCAUCUCCAUGUUCCUUAGUGUAGCCCUUAGGUGGGCCAUCUAAUCUCUAAGCAUAGGCUCUUCCCUUCUCUUCCCCGGUGGUGCAAUAUGGCUUUGUGGUGGACGAGAACCAUUAGAGACACUUACUGAGUAUGCUGUGGUGGACGUGCCAGAAAGUGACACCUGAUUGGUUAAACUCUCUUUUUCAAGUGGUUGCUAUCCAUGCGGGGAAGGUGCUGGAAGAGCUGCUGUGUUGUGCGUGGACUUUAACCCCUGGUUUCUUGCAUAACUCCCUUCUUUCCCCUGUUCUUGCAGGUGGCUCAGUCCAGCAAUCCUUUGGCUUGAUCCUUGGGAAGAACAGACUGUUCCUACAAGGAGGGUAUAGUUGGCUGGACUGAGAAGGCGGGGUGGGGUCCUCACUGUUCCUCCAGCUGCUGACCCUUCUUGCCCUGUGCUGUGGGGACUUGGGAUGUUUUGGCUCCUCGUCCUUUUCUCUAAGUCCUGGACACACAGUGUCCUCUGUUUUCAGUUGGUACAUGCGUUCACUUCGCUUUCCCCGCUCUGGUAAGUUAGAUGUUCAUCUGCUCCUUAAGUGCUUUUACAUUAAGCUGCCGUCUCAUCCUGCCUACGGUUUGUGUAGUGACAUCAUACGUUCUAAGACGUCUUCACUCUGGUUAUCUUAUUACUAAACCUGUUUAUUUUCCUCAGUGUAACUUGAGGUUCCAUGCAGAUAGCCCCUUGGCUGUUUUUGUCCCUGUUGGCUAACAGUGCCUCUUAGACAGUGACUUGAGGGGAGGAUGUGGACUUCAGGCUGUGGUGGUUUAUAAACGGCUUUCAUAAUGGCAACCCCAUUUGAAUGCCAUCAAGCCUGUGGUUAUGUAAAAUGAUGCUCCUGGUGUUGAAGAGCCAGGCUUAGGAGGCUGAAGGAGCUCUGUAAGGUUUAUGGGGGAUAGCAUGGAUCCAGUUCAACAUGGAGAUAUCUAUAUCUAUAUUAGAAGUAUCUAUCUAUCUAUCUAUCUAUCUAUCUAUCUAUCUAUCUAUCUAUCUACACACACAUAUAUGUAUGUAUGAGUGUGUGUGUAUGUAUGUAUGUAUAUAAUGUUGCUAAAAUCCCCAGUACUGUAAAAUAUAUUCACACAAACCUGCGAUACACAACAGUCAGCCAACAUGACUGUAAACUGGAUGAGGCCCUGCUGACAUCACAAGACAGGCUGUUUAUUUACAGUGAACUUAAGAUCUAAAUAGAGGAGCUUAAUGGUAAAAAUCACAUUGCUGUAAACACACAAACUCACAGCUGUUGAUUAUCAGUAUCUGCUUUAUCUCUUUUAGAUUUGUUUUUAUCUUACAUGGAUGUGUGUUUUUGCCUGCAAUUAUGUCUCUGCACCACAUGUGUGCAGGGCCCCCAGAGGCCAGAAGACAGUACCAAGUCUCCUGGAACUGGUGGUUACAGACAGUUACCGUAUGGGUCCUAGGAACCGGACCCGGGUCCCCUGGAAAAGCAGCAGUGCUCAUAAGCACGGAACAGUCUCCAGCCCCAUCUCCUGUAUACACAUUCUGUGUGUUUGUGAGUCUGGGCAGGAACAGGUGAGGAGAGUGCUACAGUGUCUCCGUGAUCGCUGUCCCACCGCUGUGGGAACCAGUGUCAUCACAGGGAGACAGAAAAAAAGGUCCUGUAUGAUAAGGUGAAAGUUAAAUAAAUGAAAAUUUACAAACUCCAAUUUUUUUUUUUUUUUUAAUUUUGAGGCAAGGUUUCUAAGUUGCCCAGGUUGAUGUGGAGUAAGCCUUGAACUUGGGAUCCUCCUGCCUCAGCCUCUCAAAUAAAAUACUUAGGACAGGUGUGAGCCACCAGACCCAGCCCGAAGGUCCUUUGCUUCGUGUCACUGUCGUUCUGUGUAUUUACUGCUUCGGUUCAAAGGGCCCAAGUAGAACCUUUAUCCUUAGAAUCAGACUGGGGCCCCUCCCUUCAUUUUCUAUUUCAUGGUGAUUUGGGGGCCUUUUUUCUUUUUUCUUCUUUUGUUUUAAAAAACUUGGUGCUUAGAGUAAAUAUCUGAUUUUUUUUUUAAGAAAAGAAUUUAUUUAUUUACUUUAUGUAUGUGAGUACACUGUAGCUGUCUUCAGACACCCCAGGAGAGGGCAUCAGAUCCCAUUGCAGAUGGUUGUGAGCCUCCAUGUGGUUGCUGGGGACCUGUGGAAGAGCAGCCAAUACGCUUAACCGCCUCUCUCCAGCCCGAGUAUCUGAUUUUUUUAAACAGAACUGCCAUAAGUUAGUGAGUUGGGGUUUGAAUUUGUUUCCCACAAAAUAUUUGCGAAGUCUCGGAACUAGUGUGCCUUUGUGCUCAGAUUGAGAGCUUCCAUCUUUUAUUUCAGAACUGGGAACCCUGGGACAAGUAGACUUGUCUGUUUAUAUUCUUAGGGAACUUUAAGUUUUAUUUUUGAGGCCACACACCAUUUUCUUUCAUUUGAUGUGUGUGUGUGUGUGUGUGUGUGUGUGUGUGUGUGUGUAUGUUUAAAGUGAAAAUGAAAACACCAAUAAGCUUAUCUUUGUUUAUAAUUUUUCUGCCCUCCUCCUUCCUUCUUUCCUCUCUCCCUCCCCUCUCCCUCCAUCAGCCUCUCCCUUCCCACCCUUCCUCUGCUGUCUUUAACCUUAAGUAAUGGGAUUUUUUUUUUUAAUGUUACUGAAGAAAGGAAUUAUUUAACUACUGGUUAUUUGAUAAAGGCAACAGAAAAGCAAGCGAGGGAUGAAGAUAGGCAGUGUGUUACCCAGUGUCCCAUUUAAGUCUCCCAUUGAGGGACCUUAAAUGGCAGGGAACACUUCUGAACACUAAGGGAAGGUAUGUAAAUGAAUACUUCGUGGUUGUAAUUGUUAGGCAUAUAAUUUGAUCUGAACUGUGUAAUGCAAAAGGCAUAUGAUUAUCAUUCUUUAAAAGGCUUUCGCAAAGAAUGCUUUGCAAGAGUAUUUCCCAAGAAAUGUUAAAAUUAAGACAGAAUUAACUUUACUUUCUGAAGCUAUUCUGUUAUUCUCUCUCUCUCUCUCUCUCUCUCUUAUUGUAAAAGUCUUAUUUUGUUAUUCUGACACAUCAGGAACUCUGGGUCUUUUGAAGACAAACUAAAACCCAACGAUAAUGGGAAUCUGGCAAUUUAGACAAAUCUUAAAUUUCAGUUCCAAAAAGGAGUAUCCACAUAAUGAGCCUGUUUGCGUCAACGGAAUGUUUCCUCUCUAAAUGACUGUUGUUUUAAUGUCUGGCUUGACACGUGUGAGCUGGUGAGCAGUGCUGUUGCCUCCCGUUUGCUUCAGGCUGAAUUGAGUACGGGAGAAGGAAGGAUGACCAACUGAUCUGCUGCCUCCGAUGAUUAGGUGCCCGCUGUAGAUGGUUGGGUACCCGCAGUGUAGGCCCUGCUUUCCUUUAACUAUGUCAAAUGAUGCUUUCCCCUGAUGGUUGAGGACCACAGGAAAGCACCUAUCCCUGUCUCUUACUUCCUCUGCCUCUUUCCUUUCCUCUGUCUUUUGCCUUUGUAGAUUUGACGCACACAUGAAGAUGAACCUUGUUCUGAGCAUAAGCAGGAUGGUUCCUGGAUAUCUAGGGUUUGGAAAUAGAUAUGAUGUGUAAAUUCUGUGUUUUAGGAACACCUCUUGUUGGGGAGAUGCAAUUUUAUAUAACUGGCUUGCUCAAACAGCAGAAUUAGCUGCCUUCAAACCAUAUUCUAGGGCUGGAUGUGUGACUCAUCAACCUGGGUUCCAUCCUCAGUGUCAAAACCCUACC